Molecule: unclassified non-coding RNA, 367 nt
Filed under: Hevea brasiliensis (rubber tree)
Lineage: Eukaryota; Viridiplantae; Streptophyta; Magnoliopsida; Malpighiales; Euphorbiaceae
Source: RNAcentral
UAUGGUUUAUGACAAUGCUGCAAUUAAGCUUCGGGGACCCGAUGCUUUAACCAACUUCAUAAAACCGCCAAGAAGAGAAGAACAACAGGAAGAAGCAGAAGCAGAAGGAGAACAAGUAGAAGAAAAGCCAGAAAUUCAUGUGACUUCAACUUCUGGCUAUGAAUCCGGCGAUGAGUCUCAAAAUCUCUCAUCCCCAAAAUCUGUGCUGAACUUUAGAGCUCAUUGCAAUGAAGAAUCUGAACUGCAGAAGCCGGUAGAACCAGUAGAAAAAUCAAAAAUAGAAAGUAAACCGGUUGAACAAGUAGUACUUGAAGAGUGUGAAGGGGAAACGAACGUAUCCGACGAAUCAGCAGAGUAUCUAUUACCG